RNAcentral lists this ribosomal RNA (646 nucleotides) under uncultured archaeon. Its description in RNAcentral is "bacterial SSU rRNA". It matches the Rfam family "Archaeal small subunit ribosomal RNA", at positions 1 to 651 of the family's 1478-position model. The record is from RNAcentral.
UUCGCCCUUGGUUGAUCCUGCCGGACCCGACUGCUAUCAGAGUGAGAUUAAGCCAUGCGAGUCAACGUAGCAAUACGUGGCAUACGGCUCAGUAACACGUAGUCAACAUAACCAAAGGACGUGGAUAAACUCGGGAAACUGAGGCUAAACCGCGAUAGACCAAGAUACCUGGAAUGGUUUUUGAUUAAAAUCUAUAUGGCCUUUGGAUUGGACUGCGUCCGAUCAGGCUGUUGGUGAGGUAAUGGCCCACCAAACCUAUAACCGGUACGGGCUCUGAGAGGAGGAGCCCGGAGAUGGGUACUGAGAUAAGGACCCAGGCCCUAUGGGGCGCAGCAGGCGCGAAACCUCUGCAAUAGGCGAAAGCUUGACAGGGUUACUCUGAGUGACUUUCGUUAAGAAAGUCUUUUGACACCUCUAAAAAUGGUGUAGAAUAAGGGGUGGGCAAGUCUGGUGUCAGCCGCCGCGGUAAUACCAGCACCCCGAGUGGUCGGGACGAUUAUUGGGCCUAAAGCAUCCGUAGCCGGCCUUACAAGUCCUCCGUUAAAUCCAGCUGCUUAACAGAUGGGCUGCGGAGGAUACUAUAAGACUAGGAGGCAGGAGAGGCAAGCGGUACUCAGUGGGUAGGGGUAAAAUCCGUUGAUCCAUU